Pelobates cultripes (western spadefoot toad) is the source of this 390-nucleotide non-coding RNA. Lineage: Eukaryota; Metazoa; Chordata; Amphibia; Anura; Pelobatidae. The record is from the annotation of a GenBank genome assembly.
CGAAAUUCUAUGGCAUACUCCGAGAUAGACCGGUUCCCUUGUCUGAUAUGCAUCAGGGUGUAGAGGCGUUUUCCUCCCUGCCAAAUGGUUCAAACAUAAGUUUAAAUUCCGUAAUAAACUCCUAGUAGUUGUGUGCCACACUCCUAUUACUCUCCCAUCAUGGAUUGGCCCAAGCUAAAGCUUUACCUUUUAAUUGAUUCAUCAGGUAACCAAUUUUAGCUCUGUCUGUGGGAAAAGAUCCUGGUGAGGCCUCAAAAUGAUACUCUAUUUGGUUAAGGAAUCCCCGACAUUCUUGUAAAUUACCAACAAAAUGCAAAGGAGGAGUGUGGCAAACCUAUCCACUUCUGGACACUUAGGGUGAAUAUUUUGUUAACAGGGAACAGACCUUAU